Molecule: long non-coding RNA, 625 nt
Filed under: Rattus norvegicus (Norway rat)
Lineage: Eukaryota; Metazoa; Chordata; Mammalia; Rodentia; Muridae
Description: long non-coding RNA NONRATT021111
Source: RNAcentral
GCAGAGUGGAGGUGAGCUGGCAUGGGCAACUUGAAGAGUGUGGGCCAGGAGCCUGGGCCACCCUGUGGCCUAGGGCUCGGGCUGGGCCUAGGGCUAUGCGGCAAGCAGGGCCCAGCCUCACCGGCACCAGAGCCUAGCCAGGCACCAGUACCCCCGUCCCCAACCCGACCAGCACCAGACCACAGGUGAGGGGCACAUGGCUGUGAGCAGCCCCCCGUUAACCCGGCCCCCAGACGGACCCAAGUUUCCUCGAGUAAAGAACUGGGAAGUGGGCAGCAUCACCUACGAUACCCUCAGUGCACAGGCUCAGCAGGAUGGGCCCUGUACCCCAAGACGCUGCUUGGGAUCCCUGGUAUUUCCAAGGAAGUUACAGAGCCGGCCCACCCAGGGCCCUUCACCCACUGAGCAGCUAUUGGGUCAAGCCCGGGACUUCAUCAAUCAGUACUAUAACUCGAUCAAAAGGAGUGGUUCCCAGGCUCAUGAGCAGCGGCUUCAGGAAGUGGAAGCUGAGGUGGUGGCCACGGGCACCUACCAGCUCCGGGAGAGUGAGCUGGUGUUUGGGGCCAAACAGGCCUGGCGCAACGCUCCCCGCUGUGUGGGGCGGAUCCAGUGGGGGAAACUGCAG